Molecule: long non-coding RNA, 1811 nt
Organism: Harmonia axyridis
Lineage: Eukaryota; Metazoa; Arthropoda; Insecta; Coleoptera; Coccinellidae
Exons: 3
Source: RefSeq, a predicted model, not a curated record
GUUGGAUAUGUAAAUAAAUUCAAUGUUCAAAUUCAUGGGAGUAGUAAUAAACUGGUAUGACAUGAAAGUUUGUACAAAAAGAACAAUGAGGAGAAUUGUUUAAAAGCAAAGGAAAAGUAUAAAGACAUCUACCGAAACCAAAAAUGAGCGGCUGGCUUAUGUUGUCUCUGUUUGUAUGUUGUUUCCCAUCAAGCGUUGUUAAUGCCAACACUUUUUCACCAUACUGAAGACGACCGAAAACCCGAAACACGUAUCUACGGAUAUCAAGGAAUGUUAAUGACCACAAGUGAUCUACAACCCCUAGACUCAGAGGCCCUCGAGUUUGCAAGUCGUCUUCCUCAAGGCAUAGAAACAUCCACUAAAUGCCUUUGGCCAUAAAUAAUUAUUUGAUACUGAAAUCUAUGAUUAGAAUACAUUGAAACUCAGCAUAUAUGAAUGAAGAUCAUCUGACUCAGGACAUCAAUGUGUCAUUGAAAUAAAAAAAUAAAAUAAUUAAAAAAAAAAAUAUGAAAUACAAAAAAAAAUACAUCUAAUAUCAUACAAUCGAGUUUUCACGAAGAAUAUGUUUAUUGAUUCAAUGAAAUCGAUGUUUGAUUACCAUGAAAAUCAGUACGGAUGAACGUAGAAAUAUAUUGUGAUAUAUGGGAACAAUCUAUUUCAUUGUUCAGAUGGCGAAUGAGACAAUGGUCUGUAUGGUCCAUCAACAUCAACCCACUGCAACUUUCCAACUCCAUCUGUGAAUCGGUUCUAGCCUUAUUACAAAAUGCGAACUUAAUUUGCAUUGUUUGCUGAUUUCCCGUUAUAUUUCGUUCACUGGAAUCAUAAAUCAAUCUGUUUGCAUACACUUAUUUCUUUUAUUGAAGAUAUGUCCACAUAGGAAAGGACGAAAAUUCGUCUGAAACUGCAAUAUUGUUAUUCAUUGAAGGGACCUGGUGACACUUAAAUAAAAGAUAAGUAGCAACCAAGCCAGAAUCGUAACGUUGUGGUGAAAUUUCAAAUAUUUUCUACAGUCUUUCAAUAAAACUGGUACCUAUGCUAUGUGAUUAAAUUGUGUAGGGAAUUCUAUUCAUUUAUUUUAUUUAUAUACUAUUUCCAAAAUCCCAAUGAGUAAAUCCGAAAUUUUUCAGAGGCUACUACGAUGAUAUAAUCAUUUAUUAUUAUUUAAGGCCCUGUAUAUGGUCAUCCGAACAUGAAAGUCCAGAGCUACAUCACUGAAGUAACCGACCCUUAUGUGUUGGUUUCCAAACUUACUACAAAAUUUUUCACUAUUUUACUUUUGAAAAAGUUAUGGGACAAAAAUAAUUUAUUUAAAGUGGGAAAAUAUAAGCUGACAUCAGUCCGAGAGUAUUUAUGUGGUAUGCCAAUCAUAUAAAGCAGUGUGUAAUCCCUCUGCACUCUAUGCACCAAAAAGGUUGCUCUUCAUUUGAAAAACAGAAAGAAUUAUAAGUUUUGAACAUGUCAGUUUAAUAUUCAAAACAGAGAGAGAAUGAUAACAAAUAUAACCUAUAAAUUAUGAAAAUCAUCAUAGUGCAGCACAUUGAAAGAGAACCCUGAGAACUAAACAAACAGGGAGGCAUGCCAAGAUCUAGAGAUAAGAACGAUUGGGAAUUGGAGAACACUUUGCCCACCCAUGCGUUGUGUUCAAUAUUGGUAAGACAUAAUUUAUCGUUAUUGAUUAAUAGUAAUUAUUACGUCUGCUAUAACAAUUAUCUUCACGUUUUCUCAAUAUGCUGGAAGAUAUAUGGUAAUAAGGAACUGUAUACUAUACGAGGUUCGAAUUCCAAAGCUCAGCAAGUCCCCUAUAAUUUACA